AUUGAACGCUGGCGGCAUGCCUUACACAUGCAAGUCGAACGGCAGCACGGUAAGUUGCAGCUCUUAGCGGGGGCGAGUCGCGUAAGGGAGAGAUCUACAUCGGUCUUUACUUUUGCGUGAGGGAUAAGGUAGGGGAACUUACGCCACUACCGCACACGAGCUACGGGUGAAAGCCGGGCACCUUUGGAGCUUGCGCGAUUGAAUGAGGCGAUGUCGGAUUAGCUAGUUGGCGGGGUAAAGGCCCACCAAGGCGACGAUCCGUAGCUGGUCUGAGAGGACGACCAGCCACACUGGGACUGAGACACGGCCCAGACUCCUACGGGAGGCAGCAGUGGGGAAUGUUGGACAAUGGGCGCAAGCCUGAUCCAGCCAUGCCGCGUGUGUGAAGAAGGCCUUCGGGUUGUAAAGCCCUUUUGUCGGGAAAGAAAAGCUUCAGGCUAAUACCUCGGUGUUAUGACGGUACCCGAAGAAUAAGCACCGGCUAACUACGUG
This 492-nucleotide ribosomal RNA is filed under the name uncultured bacterium. RNAcentral describes it as "partial 16S ribosomal RNA". It matches the Rfam family "Bacterial small subunit ribosomal RNA", at positions 30 to 507 of the family's 1533-position model. The record is from RNAcentral.